GAAACCCAAAAGAUCGAAGUCGGGAGAUUCAUCGUCGACGGCGAUGGCUACCGUUGGUGCGCGAUGCUCCGGGUAGGCCCUUGCGGUUCCACUUGCGUGUGGCACACCACCUUCGGAUCGAACGUUCCGGCGUCGUAGUCGUGCACUUCUCCCCUAGUAGGACGUCGUGACCCGUUGUGUGUCGGUCUACGGCCCGAGUGGGCGCCUGUCGANUCGUUUCGGCGCACGCGGCAGACCCUCGGUCGCCCGGCCGGCUGCACGACGGUACACUCACGGUAUCGGGCAGCAACCAGUCCAUUCUCGAAUGUGUGUGCGUCCAACCCGCCGCAAGCUCGGUCAGUUCUUACCCGGAGGUACGGACCCUGUGCCGUCCCCGGGCCUGGCCAGCUGUUAGCAGGCGGUGUCCUCGGACUGGCCAAAUCUCAGAUUACCGAUCAGCGACGCUAUUGCUUUGGGUACUCUCAGGACCCGUCUUGAAACACGGACCAANGUGUCUAUCAUGUGCGCGAGUCAUUGGGAUGCAUAAACCUAAAGGNGAAAUGAAAGUGAAAGUCGGCCUCCGCGUCGAUCGAGGGAGGAUGGGCCGCGUAACCAUGCGGNCUCGCACUCCCGGGGCGUCUCGUUCUCAUUGCGAGAAGAGGCGCACGUAGAGCGUA
RNAcentral lists this ribosomal RNA (656 nucleotides) under Lestrimelitta limao. RNAcentral describes it as "eukaryotic LSU rRNA". Lineage: Eukaryota; Metazoa; Arthropoda; Insecta; Hymenoptera; Apidae. The record is from RNAcentral.